This 465-nucleotide ribosomal RNA is filed under the name uncultured bacterium. RNAcentral's name for it is "partial 16S ribosomal RNA". It matches the Rfam family "Bacterial small subunit ribosomal RNA", at positions 28 to 507 of the family's 1533-position model. The record is from RNAcentral.
GACGAACGCUGGCGGCGUGCUUAACACAUGCAAGUCGAACGGAAAGGCCCCUUUGGGGGUACUCGAGUGGCGAACGGGUGAGUAACACGUGAGUAACCUGCCCUUGACUUCGGGAUAACUUCAGGAAACUGGGGCUAAUACCGGAUAGGAAUCCUUGCUGCAUGGUGGGGGUUGGAAAGCUUCGGCGGUUUUGGAUGGACUCGCGGCUUAUCAGCUUGUUGGUGGGGUAGUGGCUUACCAAGGCUUUGACGGGUAGCCGGCCUGAGAGGGCGACCGGCCACAUUGGGACUGAGAUACGGCCCAGACUCCUACGGGAGGCAGCAGUGGGGAAGAUUGCACAAUGGGCGGAAGCCUGAUGCAGCAACGCCGCGUGCGGGAGGACGGCCUUCGGGUUGUAAACCGCUUUCAGCAGGGGCGAAGCUUGUGGUGACGGUACCUGCAGAAGAAGCACCGGCUAACUACGUG